GACGAACGCUGGCGGCGUGCUUAACACAUGCAAGUCGAACGGAAAGGCCCCCACUUUUUUGGUGGGGGUGCUCGAGUGGCGAACGGGUGAGUAACACGUGGGUGAUCUGCCCUGUACUUCGGGAUAAGCUUGGGAAACUGGGUCUAAUACCGGAUAGGACCAUGGUUUAGUGUCUCAUGGUGGAAAAAUUAUUGUUUUGGUGCAGGAUGAGCUCGCGGCCUAUCAGCUUGUUGGUGGGGUAAUGGCCUACCAAGGCGUCGACGGGUAGCCGGCCUGAGAGGGUGGACGGCCACAGUGGGACGGAGAUACGGCCCAGACUCCUACGGGAGGCAGCAGUGGGGAAUAUUGCACAAUGGGCGCAAGCCUGAUGCAGCGACGCCGCGUGGGGGAUGACGGCCUUCGGGUGGUAAACUCCUUUCGUUAGGGACGAAGCCGCACCUUUUUUGGGUGUGGUGACGGUACCUUUGUUAAGAAGCACCGGCUAACUACGUG
Molecule: ribosomal RNA, 492 nt
Filed under: uncultured bacterium
Lineage: Bacteria
Description: partial 16S ribosomal RNA
Rfam family: Bacterial small subunit ribosomal RNA
Source: RNAcentral